AAGGAUCACAUAGAUCUUAAACUGAAGAGUUUGAUCAUGGCUCAGAUUGAACGCUGGCGGCAGGCCUAACACAUGCAAGUCGAGCGGUAACAGGGGUAGCUUGCUACCCGCUGACGAGCGGCGGACGGGUGAGUAAUGCAUAGGAAUCUGCCCGAUAGUGGGGGAUAACCUGGGGAAACCCAGGCUAAUACCGCAUACGUCCUACGGGAGAAAGGGGGCUCCGGCUCCCGCUAUUGGAUGAGCCUAUGUCGGAUUAGCUAGUUGGUAAGGUAAUGGCUUACCAAGGCAACGAUCCGUA
Molecule: ribosomal RNA, 298 nt
Filed under: Vreelandella titanicae
Lineage: Bacteria; Pseudomonadati; Pseudomonadota; Gammaproteobacteria; Oceanospirillales; Halomonadaceae
Description: partial 16S ribosomal RNA
Rfam family: Bacterial small subunit ribosomal RNA
Source: RNAcentral